Molecule: transfer-messenger RNA, 369 nt
Filed under: Microscilla marina
Lineage: Bacteria; Pseudomonadati; Bacteroidota; Cytophagia; Cytophagales; Microscillaceae
Also listed under: 1 other name
Description: Standard tmRNA
Rfam family: transfer-messenger RNA
About the family: Bacterial tmRNA, also known as 10Sa RNA or SsrA, is named for its dual tRNA and mRNA-like properties. Its role is to liberate the mRNA from a stalled ribosome.
Source: RNAcentral
GGGGCCGACUUGGAAUUGACAGCUUGUGUAUUGUAAGCGUAAGCACGUCGGGAGAUGGAUGCUCCUCCUGAAAUUAAUGCAUUCACAAUUAUAAUUGGCGAAAGAAAUUACGCCCUAGCUGCCUAAUUAAGAAUUAGAUAGCUUAGUGUCUCGCAAAUCCUAUCUUUCUGCAGGAUUUGCAACCGAGGCAUCACAAAGCAGAAAUAGUCAUUGUAAGGGCACGGUACAGUGGCGAAACAAAGUGUCUAAGGUUGAGUAUUGGUUUGAUAUGCACCUGUCUCAACUCGAAAAUCCAAGCAUGCUCUAAACGUGUAGAAAGCUCUUGCUUUCCUUGUCUGGACGAGGGUUCAAAUCCCUCCGGCUCCACAA